GUUUCUUUUGUCUCGAGUUGGAUGAGAGUUGUGCAUGCAAUAUUUUUUGCUUUCUUGCUUCUUUUUGUUUGCCCACUGAGAAUUAGUGAAUCUGAAGUUCCAAGAAAAAAUCCCAAAAAACUCUAUAUUCUUGAAAAGGCAGCGACAGAUCUUCUUUAUCCAAGGUCAAAAUCUAAUGAUGUACAUAAAAAUCAAAAGCAUAUGUUACUGCAAUUCUGAUAUUUUAUAGUGAAUAACAAUCACGAGGCAAGAUUAGUCUCACCCGAACAUGAACUCGGCAAGACAUAAAAACUAUCUUAGCUAUCAACAAUCUCCAGGCAUGCAAACUAUCUUAGCUAUCAAUACUUAAAGACCAAGAAAACAGUUACUUCGAACAGUUAGAUUGAACUGAAAGUACUACUCAAAAGUCACAUGGAGUUGGCUCUCUAUCCUUGCAGACAAAACACUAGUUUUCACAGUCUCUUUCUUUUAACAAUCUCUAGCUUCUUCUUUUUUUUUAUCUUAUUUUUCCUUUUUUAUUGUACACAAUGGUAAAGCAGUACUUUCGGUAUGUGAGCUGGAAAAGCCACAUGAAUUUGUUGAAAUCGAAGUGGUAUGCACGGGUUUUUCUUUGCGCCUUUCCAUCUCUCAAGCUGAGGGGUAACUUUUUUUUGCCUCCAGUAAUAUUGUUUGGGGGCUUUCGGCUGGGGAUUUCUUCAUGCCUUUCCAUCUCCCAAGCUGCAAGCUGAUGGGUCAUUUUGUUUUAGCUCCAGUAAUAUGGUUUGGGUUUGGGGGCUUUCAGCUGGGGAUGCCAUUGCCUUCUCUUGGCUUCGACUGCUCUACCAGCUGUUGCUGCGCUUGGGUCGAGCUGUUGUCAAAUUUGGGUCAGAAAAUUGAGGUUGCAUUCUCCGCUUUUCCUCUGGCUUAGCUCUUGGCGUUUGGGAGAAUGGGUUUUCUAUGCAAUGGCUCCUGUUGCAGCGGCUUUGAAUCCAGAUAAGCCUUUGUUUACCAGAUCGGCCUCGUUUGUUUUAGCUCAGUUUGCGUUUGAUUUUCGUAGAUUGUGGAUGUUGGAUUAGAAAAAAUGUCAUGCAAUGAUUAUUUCGCAUUAAAUGCGAUGCCCCUUUGGCCGAGAUUUAGAAUUCUCGUGUUGAGAGAAAAUAUACUGCUAUCAGCUUAUAGCCUGAGUCGUGGCUCCUCAUCGAGAAAAACUGAAUCAUCCACAUUGUCGAGGCUCGAAUCUCUAUAAGGUUCAAGUCAAUAUUUUAGAUCGAAAUUGCAAAGAACCAGCUGAAACUCUGUAAGGUUUGAGAAACUAAUUUAGAUUGUUCACAUUGCAAAGAACCACUCCAAACUCUCUACCAUUACAUCGCUAUUUUUUGCUUUGCAAGUUCUUUGAUUGAUGCCUCAACAACUCAUCCAUUUCAUAGCUUUGUUCUACCAUAAUUUUAUUCAUACUUUACAUCAACAUCGCUAUUUUUAACCACUGCUUCUUCAUUUUUCUUUUCUUUUUUCCUUUUUUAUAAAAAAGAUUCAGUCCACAUUUUCAAACUCUUCCUCACACAAACACUUCAUUGAUGUGCUCCCCCAAUAAUCAAUGUACAUUGAUAACUUGAAUAUUCUUGCAGAUGCAGUGGAGCUUCCAGAAAACAACGAUGUGCGCCAGGAACAUUUUGCUACUUACCAUCUUACGUUGCUGCAACUUUUUGACUGCUGUUGGAUUACAUCUGUUUAUAGAAACUGCUUUUGAAAUUAGAUGUCCUUUGUUACUCUACAUUCCAUUCAGCCUUUUUGUCUAUCAAUUCUCAGUUUAAACUAUAUAUGUUUUAUGAUGUUGCAGUAAGCUACUGGAAUUACAUUACCUUGCAUAUUUAAUUUAA
Molecule: long non-coding RNA, 1856 nt
Organism: Populus trichocarpa (black cottonwood)
Lineage: Eukaryota; Viridiplantae; Streptophyta; Magnoliopsida; Malpighiales; Salicaceae
Exons: 2
Source: RefSeq, a predicted model, not a curated record